CAGCAGCCACGGUAAAACGUAGGGUGCAAGCGUUAAUCGGAAUUACUGGGCGUAAAGCGUGCGCAGGCGGUUUGUUAAGACAGAUGUGAAAUCCCCGGGCUCAACCUGGGAACUGCAUUUGUGACUGGCAAGCUAGAGUAUGGCAGAGGGGGGUGGAAUUCCGCGUGUAGCAGUGAAAUGCGUAGAGAUGUGGAGGAAUACCGAUGGCGAAGGCAGCCCCCUGGGCCAAUACUGACGCUCAUGCACGAAAGCGUGGGGAGCAAACAGGAUUAGAUACCCCGGUAGUCCCUGUCUCUUAUAC
This 301-nucleotide ribosomal RNA is filed under the name uncultured bacterium. RNAcentral describes it as "partial 16S ribosomal RNA". It matches the Rfam family "Bacterial small subunit ribosomal RNA", at positions 509 to 807 of the family's 1533-position model. The record is from RNAcentral.